This 255-nucleotide ribosomal RNA is filed under the name Triticum aestivum (bread wheat). RNAcentral's name for it is "partial small subunit ribosomal RNA". Lineage: Eukaryota; Viridiplantae; Streptophyta; Magnoliopsida; Poales; Poaceae. The record is from RNAcentral.
AUGCAGACCUUACUACACAUGUUGAAUUCUUCAUCAACAACCUCAAGGAGACAUGAAACCGUCACUACGGAAACUCAAGGGUCCAGAUCGGUCAUUUCCCAAUCGAGUAUGUCGCGACUACGAAGCAAGGAAACCGGCAUGACUGUGGCUUUCACACGUUGGAAUACCUUACAAAGUGGGAAGGCCGACGGGUCCCUGUCGUCACAGCUGCAAUGGUCGUUGAGCUCCGCAAAAUAUACACAUGGAACUGGUUGA